AGGGUGGGGCUGGAGAAGAGACCCAAGCCCUUUGCAGGAGUCAGAAGACCAUGAAUGAAUCCCAGGCAAUUGAUUUGAGUUAUUAAUACCAUUAGAGCUUGGUUUUGCUUGGUUCAGGUGGAUUUACAGUCUGGAGGCUGGUGUUAGCUGAAGAGCAAGCGGGGAGACAGAGGCGUUAGCUUCAUGAUAAAAUUGCACCUACACGGCUUCCAGGUCAAGGAGGAAUCCAUUCUCCAGUCUUAAGGUGGACGGCAACAGCACCAAAGACAGGAAUCAACGUGGGAAAGCUGGCCAAAGUGUACAGAACCACACCAGAUAACCACCUUUGCCUUUGGAAUUCAAAAGCCAUUAUUAGCGAACAC
Long non-coding RNA from Mesocricetus auratus (golden hamster), 362 nucleotides. RefSeq lists it as uncharacterized. NCBI's taxonomy places the organism in Eukaryota, Metazoa, Chordata, Mammalia, Rodentia, Cricetidae. The transcript has 3 exons. The record is from RefSeq and is a predicted model, not a curated record.